RNAcentral lists this unclassified non-coding RNA (219 nucleotides) under Lactobacillus sp. RNAcentral describes it as "partial contains 16S ribosomal RNA and 16S-23S ribosomal RNA intergenic spacer". The stretch from base 1 to 156 matches the Rfam family "Bacterial small subunit ribosomal RNA", at positions 1380 to 1533 of the family's 1533-position model. The record is from RNAcentral. Lineage: Bacteria; Bacillati; Bacillota; Bacilli; Lactobacillales; Lactobacillaceae.
CUUGUACACACCGCCCGUCACACCAUGAGAGUUUGUAACACCCAAAGUCGGUGGGGUAACCCUUCGGGGAACUAGCCGCCUAAGGUGGGACAAAUGAUUAGGGUGAAGUCGUAACAAGGUAGCCGUAGGAGAACCUGCGGCUGGAUCACCUCCUUUCUAAGGAUAUGAUGCUUAGCAUCAACGGAAAUACACAACGUUGAAACUUUGUUUAGUUUUGAG